RNAcentral lists this ribosomal RNA (253 nucleotides) under uncultured bacterium. Its description in RNAcentral is "partial 16S ribosomal RNA". It matches the Rfam family "Bacterial small subunit ribosomal RNA", at positions 524 to 776 of the family's 1533-position model. The record is from RNAcentral.
AACGUAGGUACCGAGCGUUAUCCGGAUUUACUGGGCGUAAAGCGCGUUCAGGCGGUACGGCAAGUCGGGCAUGAAAUCUCUCGGCUCAACCGGGAGAGGUUGUCCGAUACUGCCGGACUAGAGGGCAGUAGAGGGUGGUGGAAUUCCGGGUGUAGUGGUGAAAUGCGCAGAUAUCAGGAGGAACACCGGUGGCGAAGGCGGGUCUCUGGGCCGAUACUGACGCUGAGGAGCGAAAGCGUGGGGAGCGAACAGG